Molecule: long non-coding RNA, 1519 nt
Filed under: Anolis carolinensis (green anole)
Lineage: Eukaryota; Metazoa; Chordata; Lepidosauria; Squamata; Anolidae
Description: lncRNA (ENSACAG00000041186.1)
Source: RNAcentral
AUGAAACAGAACUUUCUCUCGAUGAGCAAAGUUACCAAAGUUGCCAGCCACACAGGCCCCUCUGGAAAGUUUUGGUGGAGGGAAUGGGGGGCUGGAGGGGAGCUGGAUACCCUCCUGGGACAACCUUUGGCAUCUAGCCUUCCCCCAAGGGAAAGUCCGGGUUUGGGGGUUGGAGUGGGGACAAACUCCUGAGAGGAAUGAAGAACCACGUGGCUGGCAGGACCCUCGGGUAAGUUUUGGGGGAGGGAAUGGGGGGCUGGGAGGGAGGCGCUAUCCUGGCCUCCGAGCUUUUGAGAACCUGAAAAAGCAGGAUAGCUGUGGAGAGUGACCCCCUGAACUGCAGGAGCAGUCCUAGGAAGCAGUCUCCACAGGAUCCUCACCUUUAAAGAUCUGGACCUUAUUUUAAGGUCUGGAUCUUUAGAGGUGUUUUUUAAAUCUGGAUUAAACAGAGUAAAUUCUGUUUCCUCCAGGUUUAAACGGAUUAGGUUGAAAUGUCAUCUGGACACCUCAGGCUAAUCUGUUUUUUAGCCUGAGUUUUAGAGCUGUGUAGAAGGGCCCAAAGAUUACAAUUCCUCAAUUCUGGGGAAAAGACAAAAAAACCUUUUCAGGCCCAGAAAUUGGAGGGGGGGGGGUUGCUUGAUCAUGACCAUCUCAAGAAAUCAUUUGAACUGACCCUUGGAAUUUUUCAAAGACCCAUUACAUAACACAGUGGUAAAAGGGCUAAAAUAUGCUGAGCUCUGAGGCUGCAUUCAUUUUUGGCAUUAAUUUUCCAGAAAUAUUUGAGAGGAUGAUUGUACUGUCAUUCAAACUAGCUUUGCUAUUACACUAAUUCCAGCACAAGGAUGCAUUAGUCUUUCUCAUAAUCUUCAUGCUAUGUGUGUGAGCAUGAAAGCAAAUAGGAAAAUUUGUACGUUUUCUGUCUUCUUGUAGCUCAAAAUCUGAUGGCUCGUUUAUCUUAAAAAGUUUUUUUCCUGUUUAAGCAAAAUUUAAACCUGCACUUUGCUUGAAAAAUCUGUUUAAUAAUAUCUGUAUCCUUGUUAUUGGUUUGCUUGGUAGUUUUUAAUGUUAGCUGCCCUUCACUUAAUACAAUUAAUACAACAGUGUCCCUCCUUCAGCUGGAAUCAGGCACUUGCUUUUAGUAUUGGUCAAGUAUUGGGAUAAUUAUGAGUCAUACUUGCAAUGGAUUUUGAAACAUUAUUGCAAAAUUCUGUUUUGGGGAUUUGGAGCUAGGAUAGAGUAGCCAAGGUGCUCAAUGAGGUCCCCUGCACAUUUUAUUUAUUUACAUGACUUUUACCCCGCCUUUCUCCCUGAAGGGAACGGGGCUUACAAUAAAUAGGCAAAAAUUCAAUGCCUAAAAACUAUGUAAAAACAACAAUUCAUAUAAAAAAUCUACAAAACAACAAUUCAUAUAAAACAGAUAUCAUUACAAAAUAAAAUCGCAUUAUAUAAAAUUUUAAGCAUUUAAUUUUUAAACACUAUUUCAUAACCAAAAUAUUAUUUGAGAAAUAAGCUAAAAUAG